GGUCUAUCAGGUCGUAGUGGGUGUAACGUACCUACUAGCCUACGACGGAUACGGGUUGUGGGAGCAAGAGCCCGGAGAUGGAUUCUGAGACAUGAAUCCAGGCCCUACGGGGCGCAGCAGGCGCGAAAACUUUACAAUGCGGGAAACCGCGAUAAGGGGACACCGAGUGCCAGCAUCCUAUGUUGGCUGUCCAUAUGUCUAAAUCACAUGUGUUAGCAAGGGCCGGGCAAGACCGGUGCCAGCCGCCGCGGUAACACCGGCGGCCCGAGUGGUGGCCACUAUUAUUGGGUCUAAAGGGUCCGUAGCCGGUUUGGUCAGUCUUCCGGGAAAUCUGACGGCUCAACCGUUAGGCUUUCGGGGGAUACUACCAGGCUUGGGACCGGGAGAGGUAAGAGGUACUACGGGGGUAGGAGUGAAAUCUUGUAAUCCCUGUGGGACCACCAGUGGCGAAGGCGUCUUACCAGAACGGGUCCGACGGUGAGGGACGAAAGCUGGGGGCACGAACCGGAUUAGAUACCCGGGUAGUCCCAGCUGUAAACUAUGCUCGCUAGGUGUCAGGGACGGUGCGACCGUUUCUGGUGCCGCAGGGAAGCCGUGAAGCGAGCCACCUGGGAAGUACGGUCGCAAGGCUGAAACU
RNAcentral lists this ribosomal RNA (637 nucleotides) under uncultured archaeon. Its description in RNAcentral is "bacterial SSU rRNA". It matches the Rfam family "Archaeal small subunit ribosomal RNA", at positions 219 to 856 of the family's 1478-position model. The record is from RNAcentral.